CCGACCGCCUUGGAGGGGCUCCGGCACUUGAGCGGGGUAGGAAGAACUGGGGAGGCGGGGCGUGCCCGCAGCGGGCGCGCGGGUCCCUUUUGUUCUUAGCAUUUGCACGGUCCCAGGGCCGCGGCACAAUGAAGGACGGGCUGGGGCCACGAGAAUCCGCGACGGGGCCUGGCAUCCCGCGCAGCGAGAGCCUGCGAGCCGAAAGCGAGCGGGAGGUCUUCGCGUUGGUGCAGCACUGACCAUCUGGAAAUACCGAGACGGACCGCCAGGGCCGGCCAUCCACGCAGACGAGACCACAUGGGUGUGACCUGCGCAGGCUGAAUCACAGGCCUUCAUUCGCUUCCUGUUGACUCAGAUAAGCUAGGAGGAGAAACUGGCAGCCAAAAGUAAAUUUCUGCUUAAAGUCAAA
Carlito syrichta (Philippine tarsier) is the source of this 409-nucleotide long non-coding RNA. RefSeq lists it as uncharacterized. NCBI's taxonomy places the organism in Eukaryota, Metazoa, Chordata, Mammalia, Primates, Tarsiidae. The record is from RefSeq and is a predicted model, not a curated record. The transcript is spliced from 2 exons.